This 253-nucleotide ribosomal RNA is filed under the name uncultured bacterium. RNAcentral's name for it is "partial 16S ribosomal RNA". It matches the Rfam family "Bacterial small subunit ribosomal RNA", at positions 524 to 776 of the family's 1533-position model. The record is from RNAcentral.
UACAGAGGGUGCAAGCGUUAAUCGGAAUGACUGGGCGUAAAGGGUGCGUAGGUGGUUAAUUAAGUUUCAUGUGAAAGCCCCGGGCUCAACCUGGGAAUGGCAUGGAAAACUGAAUAGCUUGAGUAGAGGAGAGGUGAGUGGAAUUUCCGGUGUAGCAGUGAAAUGCGUAGAGAUCGGGAGGAACAUCAGUGGCGAAGGCGACUCACUGGACUCAUACUGACACUGAAGAACGAAAGCGUGGGGAGCAAACAGG